This 504-nucleotide ribosomal RNA is filed under the name uncultured bacterium. RNAcentral describes it as "bacterial SSU rRNA". It matches the Rfam family "Bacterial small subunit ribosomal RNA", at positions 9 to 526 of the family's 1533-position model. The record is from RNAcentral.
GAGUUUGAUCCUGGCUCAGGACGAACGCUGGCGGCGCGCCUAACACAUGCAAGUCGAACGAGAGAGAAGGAGCUUGCUUCUUCGAUCGAGUGGCGAACGGGUGAGUAACGCGUGAGGAACCUGCCUCAAAGAGGGGGACAACAGUUGGAAACGACUGCUAAUACCGCGUAAGCCCACGGGUCGGCAUCGAUCUGAGGGAAAAGGAGUGAUCCGCUUUGAGAUGGCCUCGCGUCCGAUUAGCUAGUUGGUGAGGUAACGGCCCACCAAGGCGACGAUCGGUAGCCGGACUGAGAGGUUGAACGGCCACAUUGGGACUGAGACACGGCCCAGACUCCUACGGGAGGCAGCAGUGGGGAAUAUUGCACAAUGGGGGAAACCCUGAUGCAGCGACGCCGCGUGGAGGAAGAAGGUCUUCGGAUUGUAAACUCCUGUCGUUAGGGACGAUAAUGACGGUACCUAACAAGAAAGCACCGGCUAACUACGUGCCAGCCGCCGCGGUAAUAC